GAUGAACGCUGGCGGCGUGCCUAAUACAUGCAAGUCGAGCGAACAGACGAGGAGCUUGCUCCUCUGACGUUAGCGGCGGACGGGUGAGUAACACGUGGAUAACCUACCUAUAAGACUGGGAUAACUUCGGGAAACCGGAGAUAAUACCGGAUAAUAUAUUGAACCGCAUGGUUCAAUAGUGAAAGACGGUUUUGCUGUCACUUAUAGAUGGAUCCGCGCCGCAUUAGCUAGUUGGUAAGGUAACGGCUUACCAAGGCAACGAUGCGUAGCCGACCUGAGAGGGUGAGCGGCCACACUGGAACUGAGACACGGUCCAGACUCCUACGGGAGGCAGCAGUAGGGAAUCUUCCGCAAUGGGCGAAAGCCUGACGGAGCAACGCCGCGUGAGUGAUGAAGGUCUUCGGAUCGUAAAACUCUGUUAUUAGGGAAGAACAAAUGUGUAAGUAACUAUGCACGUCUUGACGGUACCUAAUCAGAAAGCCACGGCUAACUACGUG
RNAcentral lists this ribosomal RNA (497 nucleotides) under uncultured bacterium. RNAcentral's name for it is "partial 16S ribosomal RNA". It matches the Rfam family "Bacterial small subunit ribosomal RNA", at positions 28 to 507 of the family's 1533-position model. The record is from RNAcentral.